CAACCCCUGACAAUGCCAACUAAUGAGUUUCAUUUGUUUCUUGGUGGCUGUUUAGGGCCAGCCACCAAUGCCCAGUGAUCAGAUUCGUUCGCCACAAAGAUUGGAGUCUCCUGCAGUUGGGUUUCAUUAAGUCCCUCAGAUAUCUGUAAACACCUAUCAUAAGUGCCAUACCGCUUUGCUUUCUUCAUGGGUUCAACUUUAGGAUGCAAGAAUCUCAGUUGCUUGUCCGAGUGGUUUCCAUUGAAGCGGAGUUGCAAUAGUUAUAACUUGGCCCUCGGCUGGUAUGUCCAUAACCUCCUUUGGAUUGUUUAUAGUAGAUUGAUGGGCAGGGAUCAAAUGGGUUGGUGACUAAGGAGUUUCAGGGAUGACUUUCUCUACCUCCUCAAUAGGAAGUUGGGUUUCAUAAAAGGGCAGCAAGGCGAGCGUCAUUACCAUGGUCAGAGUUGUCUAUCCCUGAAGAACCCUCAGCCGGAGGUUCCAUCCUAUCGCAAUUCGACUAAAAAGGAGAGAAUCCGAGACUGUCCAUAAAUAGCACAACUACAGGCAGACCAGGAAGUUUGUCACAGGAGCCCGGGAUGAUGAGAGAACAGAGGAAAAACGACAUGCAGAAGACUUGAUGAAGCGGAAAGACUGCAACUUAGGGUGAAAUUGACGAUGGUAAGAGGAGAAGUGACGGAUAGAAAUGGGUCUGUAGAUAAUAGAGACUGAGCCAAAGUAGAAUCGAAGAGGAUAACACGAAGAGGAAACCCAGAAUCAGCCAGCAAGAUGUAUCGGGAAAUGAGUAUAAAGGCAGAAAGGGUUCGGUCUAGAAAGUAAUGAACAUGGAUAGAGAGAAAUAGAACUGGUCCAUGGGUGAAUCAAAUAAGAAAAACAAGAUGGGAAAUCCAGACUGGAGCAUCGAGAUUAAAGCUUGAAAAAGAAACUGAGAAUCAAGUAGGGUUCCAGACGAAAGAGUAAACUACCACGGGGUAGAGGGAAACUCGACAAAAUGAGAGCCGGCAAUUAAGGAAAAUUAUUUCCACGAAAAUAUCCUCCUCAACCAAAUUGAAUGCUCAAUCCUGUGGAACACGCAUUGUGCCUCUUGGGGGGGCCCUUCGCUAGGAAACGCAUCUGCUGCACUGGCAUCACUCCCUCAAAGCCAGAAUCUCACCCACUACAACCCUGCUCGAGAACGCAGCUAGCGCAUCGCUAAAGGGUAGCACAUAGUGAUCGGAUAUCACCGGCGGGACAGUAUGUGCCUCAGCAUUCCUAGGGCUCGCCACCUUGUGGCCACUUUGGCCAUGUGUAGUACUAGUCCUCUUCAUCCCGUGGUAGGCGACCGCCUUGGGAAGCCCGUCGUAGACCAUGGUGUCCCCAUUCUUUUCCUUCUGGUGUCGCAGUAGGACCGGCCGAAUGUGGCUGUGCACUGAGUUGGCAAAGAAAGCCAUCAAGGUGCAGUCGAAUGUCCCUGGCUAUGAGGUUGAUUUCAGGGAACGAAGCGUCUUUCUUGGGGUUGAAGUGCCAUAAUUUUUUUAAAAUAUUUACCUAAAGGUCGAAA
This is a long non-coding RNA of Eucalyptus grandis, 1537 nucleotides long. RefSeq lists it as uncharacterized. The transcript is spliced from 3 exons. The record is from RefSeq and is a predicted model, not a curated record. Lineage: Eukaryota; Viridiplantae; Streptophyta; Magnoliopsida; Myrtales; Myrtaceae.